RNAcentral lists this long non-coding RNA (1923 nucleotides) under Erythranthe guttata (spotted monkey flower). RNAcentral's name for it is "long non-coding RNA (EGUT_LNC001547)". The record is from RNAcentral. Lineage: Eukaryota; Viridiplantae; Streptophyta; Magnoliopsida; Lamiales; Phrymaceae.
AAUACAAUGCAAAACAGGUUACAUAAAGCCAAAAAUAAGCAUAUUAAUGAUGGAAAGAAAUUAAAUUAAUUUUUCAUAAAUCUCGAAGAACUAACCAAGCGGGUUAUGCCGAAUCGUAGAAGAAACAGCAGCUCCAGCAGCUGAAGCCUCUGAAACUUCUGCCUUGUUGCUAUUGUUAUUACCUACUUCAAAGAGGAAACACAAUAAUGAGAAGCUAAUCUUGAUUUCUUGAUAGUUUGUCGAUAUGUAUAUAUUUAGGUGGAUACAACUUGCUGGAACUUUGUUCAAUAAUCAUUAACAGAUGCAAAAUCAUUAAAUCAAACUAAUAGGUAAAAAAGAAGGAGAAUAAAUUAAAUGCAAGAACUCCCCACAGCUGAUGCCGUCUAGCUAAGAAUUAAGCCUUUUCUUCAACAUUCGUAGAAACAUAUUUAGUUCACAGGCUUUCAGUUUUUAGCAGUCUCUUCUCAUCUUUAAAGCCCAUGAAUUGUACAGGAUAUACGUUCUUUAGUCCUGAGAAAUGAACUAAUAUAAUAAUAGAACAGUAGAACAUACACAACUUGUUGUGACCAUAUAAUUGAAACAGAAAACUUAAAAUGCAAAUGGGAUAAUCAUACAAUAAGAUUCAAUUACAAGGGAAGCAAGAAGAGGCUGUAGCUACAAAAUUAUUGAAUAAAUUUUGCUGUACAUUGAAUUUAAAUGGUUUAUCGGAAUAGCCAAGCAAAAAAUUCACAUUAAAGAGAGGAGAGAAAGUUAUUACCUUUGUUUAGCAUAGGGGCUCGGGGGACAACAAGAAUAAGAGGAAAAUUACAUAAAAGAAAGAAGAGAAACUUGUUGCUUUUCUUUAGCAUAGAGAAUCAGCGCACAAUAAGGAGAGUUAAAACGGUCGAAUACAAUUGAAAUUGAGAAGCAGCAAAACACAAACAGUAGUCAAGUAAUGCAUUGAACUUGAAAAAAGCUCACCAUUUAAACGUUCGAACAAAAUUUUCGUAAGCACGUGCCUCCUUCUCCUUCUUGUCGUUGUUGCUAGUGAGUGCUGAAGGGAGUCAAAACACUCGAAAUAGGCACAUAAAACUAUAUGUCAGUGACACCUUCUCUUUUGUUGCUGUUCAUUUUAAAGAACGGUGUAUCUACCUUUGCAUUCUCGAGUUUUUGUAUCGAUCCAUACUAUCAUUCUCCGAAUAUUAUUCCAAAAUCAUCGAGGUUAGAUGAAGAACAUGUUGAUUCCACCUAGUUUCAGACUUUUCCCAUUUGGAAUUGUUUUAUGGAAAAGAUUUAAACAAUUGAGCGCACGCGUAAAAUUAAAGACAGUGAUAUUGGAAAAAUUAAAUCACCACCCUAUUGACCCCAAAAGCUAUGAGCAACAACAGAGCACAAGAAAGGCCCCAGAAAACUGAAGUCGUAUCGUUGGCCUGAAAAAAUAAAUGAAAAAUGGCGAACCCAUCUUCCAAACAACAAGAGAAUGAAGAAAAAUUGGGCAUAUCAAGUACACCGUGGAAGUAGAGCACAGGGCCAGUACCGACUAAAUUCGGAAAACAAAAGAAAAGCUAAAAACAGUACAAGAAAUUAAAUAUAAUGACGAAGAAAAAGGAGGAAGAAAAUAGAAAAGCAAAUGAAAUAACCAAUAAUGUAUACCUUCUGAAAGUGCUGAAGUACGCAGCACCUCCUGCAACCUCUAUUACAGAAAUAAUAAUAAAAAAACAAUUAAAAAGAGAAAACCAAAAAAAAAAAAAAAACUCGAGAAAUACGAAAGAUAUACCUCCACUGCAAAGGAAGAAGAAGAUGGGCAUCAAACAUCGAAUUAUUCGAAAGCGUGACUGCAAGGCUGGCGGCGGAGGUGGCUGGACUCCAGAAUUAAGCUUUCGGAGAAGCGCACAUCACCGACUAAAAUAAGGAAAAUAAUUAAAUGACCGAUGAAAUGGCNNN